AUGGACUGCUUAACUAGGGAAACACUGGGUUUGGAUGACGGGAUGGAUGGAUUGUCAUGUCCAUGUGAAGUAGCGAGGGAUCUUGCAAGGAAAACCGACCACAUUCUAAAAAACCACUCAGGCAUUGGCGUUAAGGCGCUCAAGCUUGAAAUAUGUGAUUUCCCCCUUUUCAACACCUCCUGUGAUCUCGAUCGUUGGCUUCAUAUUGCUGUCAAACCAGGGAUUGAGGAACUUGACCUCCAGCUUAUUGUAUCUCAUGCAGCUCUUUGUCGAGAAAAAUCUCAUGCGGCUCUUUGUCGAAAGAUAUCUCAAAAAUCACAUGCAACUGUGUACAACUUUCCAUGCUCACUUUUAGAUGGGAGUGGCAAGUCGAUCCAGCAGCUUUAUCUCAACAAUUGUGCCCUCCGUCCCACGAUACCUAGCCUGUUGCAGCAGCUUAGCCACCUGGUUGUCGAGGAAUGUAGAAAUCUGGAAGUGAUAAAGAGCAAAGCCCCUCAUCUGUACAGUUUUGGAUAUCGUGGUACCCUAGUACGACUAUCACUUGGUGAUUCAUUGCAAAACCUAUACAUUGAUGCUUCAGAUCAGGACGUUGUUCAUCAUGCUUGUGCCGAUCUUCUGGACGUGGUGCCAAAUCUUGAAGCUCUUGAAAUAUCUUCGUAUUAUCCGAUGGAUACACUGGUGGUACCUGGCAAAUUUCUCCACCUCCAACGACUAUGUAUUGGGUUAUUUACCCCAGACUAUGAUUAUUUGUCUCUGGUUUCUUUACUCGAUGCGUGUCCUUCCUUGGAGACUUUUGUAUUGUCCGUAGAGCCAGAUCGCGUGAGGCAAGAAUCAGUUUUAGGAAAAUCUUCUCAUAAUCUAAUCCAGAUGCCAGGCCACAUGCAUAGGAACAUAAAGGAUGUGCAUAUCAUUGGCUUCUGUUCUGCAAACAGCAUGGUUGAGCUAACAUGCCAUAUACUUGAGAAUGUGAAGUCGCUUGAGUACCUUACACUGAGCACCUCUGGGGAUGAUGAAAUUUUGUGUUCUAAAAGUGAAAAUGGUAUAUGCCUUCGAAUGAACAAGUAUAUGAGGAUGGAAGCCCGCAAAGCACUCUUGGCCGUGGAAAGACACAUUUUGGGGAAAGUUCCAUCUACCGUAGAGUUAGAAGUUGUGAAGCCUUGCAGCCGGUGCAAUACUCUUUAA
Molecule: ribosomal RNA, 1182 nt
Filed under: Triticum aestivum (bread wheat)
Lineage: Eukaryota; Viridiplantae; Streptophyta; Magnoliopsida; Poales; Poaceae
Description: partial small subunit ribosomal RNA
Source: RNAcentral